GGAAGGAUCUCUUCCUGGAGAUCAUUCCUUGUGGAGAAUAUUGUGAGCUUACAACAUUGGCUCACAAACACCAGAUGUUCUUUCUCUCGGGAAGCACCUUUCAGAGAAUCCACCAGUGCAAUAUAAAUAGAGCACAAGCCAAAAGCAAGAGAUGUCAUAAUAGAUUCAAUGUAUCCCAGUACAAGAUGAAGUGCAAAGCAGUAACCAAGCAUCAAAAGAAACAUUUGAACUUUUUCCAGCAUCUUGCUAAAUAAGCAAAAGAAUUUGUUCAUAGACACAGAGGACGUUAUUCCCAAAACAGAGUAAUAAACUAGUUAAGUUAGUACUGAUUUGUCUGAAACCAUUUUUCAGGGGAUGUACCUCGGAGUUCAGCAUGUACACACAUUAUGUUAAUCAUGUUUCAUUACCUCCCAUGAAUGUGACAGAAUGGAAGCUACUUUAUGAACCUUCUACAACUAUUCUGUCUGAUGUAUGUUUACAAGUUAGUGCUUAGGAAUUUAAAGACACUUACAGAAAGUACUUGUCAGUUAUAACGUAAGGAGCAGAAUAAAGCGUGGAUACUGCUUUGUCUCAGCUGCUGUUUUACAUCAAUUGCAUGUGAACUGCAAGGAAUGGAAGCAGGCCUGAGAAAGGAGCUAGGAAAGUGCUUUUAACAUGGACAAGCUAUAUAGGAAAGAGCAAAAUAAGUCAUCAUGGAAUAAUAAAAUGGCCUGGGUUGAAAAGGACCACAGUGAUCAUCCAGUUUCAACCCUUUGCUAUGUGCAGGAUCGCCAAACACCAGACCAGGCUGCCAGAGCCACAUCCAGCCUGACCUUGAAUGCCUCCAGGGAUGGGGCAUCCACAGCCAAGUGAAGAUAAGAAAGAAGCAUGCAGGAGAGCCUGUGGCCCUCGAGCACUCCCGGAGCUGAAGGAGACUGAGGAUUGUGACUCUUGUCUCACAUUCUCCAUUAUAGAUCCACUAAGAUAACCCGUUAGAAGAGACCCUCUUCCUUUUGCAACAGAGGCUAUAACAGAAUGGCACCCUAUUACUGGUACCAUCAUGUGUUACGGUAGCCCAAGUGGCAGAAGGUGGCACCUCCUAGGGGCUCCAUUCCCAGUACUGAAUGACAUAACAGUGAACGUGGAAAGAUUUAGUGGAAUCUGGGAGAUAAAAUUUGAUACUCUGCCUUUCAGCACACAGCUAAUACUAUUCAGCUAAUAGUGGGUUCUACUGCGAGAGUGACCUGCCUUUUCAGCCUAACUGGCAGUAAAACCCAGAGAAUUAAGAUGUUUCUGAUGACCAAGAGAGAAAAACUAGCUGAUGGCUCACAGAGUUGGAAGAGCUAACACUGUGUACUCUGUUGAGUUGCAUGGCCUUAAACAAGAAUGAACUUUCAAUUCAUUGGGAAGAAAUGAAUUUAAAACAAUUCUAAUAGAAGAAACUGGUACAUGUUAGUCCAGUACUUCCUGAAAUCUUUUCAGAGUAUUCCAAGCAGUGAGACAAAGCUAAAAUAAAGUAAAAGGUGCAGUCAGAAGAUUUCUGUGGGUAAACCUAGAUCUCGGUUCAAGUUUUAAAGUGGAAAUAACUCAUGGAGAUACUGAGUAUUUAGACUGGUGUAAGGAGAAAACAGUCUUCACUGGAGACAAAUAGGAACGAAAAUGUUUACAGCCACAGCAUUUUUCUUUUCAUUGCUGCAAGAUGGCUUAAUAUUUGUUCAAACAGCAGGGAAAAGACAAUUCCAUAGCUUUAGAGAAGAACAAGUGAGCAAAUUCAAAUAAUACCAUAGCAACAACUGUAUGAUCACCUCAGUGAAAGAAAAUUAGAUCCCUCUGGAUCAUGUGUGUAGGCACUGAAGGAACUGAUAUCGAAAUGCUGGAACUUUAUAAAAUGUUUUUAAUGUAUUUCAUUCACUUUUUACUAUUAAUAUUAUGUAAUUAGAGAUGGGAUAAAUGGAUUUUCCUGCUCUUCUGCAGUGUGCUUUCCUUUCAUGCCACCCUUCACGGUCCCUGACGCUGACUGACUUUGGUGCUGAAGUGUGGUUAGUUACAGCCUGCUGCAAUUCUAACUGUGCAACAACCUCAUGUAAUUUUGUAGUGAAAAUCAACAUUAGAUGUGAUGGGAAAUAAAAUAAACUAAAAAAAAGCAAU
Molecule: long non-coding RNA, 2127 nt
Organism: Tympanuchus pallidicinctus (lesser prairie-chicken)
Lineage: Eukaryota; Metazoa; Chordata; Aves; Galliformes; Phasianidae
Exons: 3
Source: RefSeq, a predicted model, not a curated record